Long non-coding RNA from Magnolia sinica, 419 nucleotides. RefSeq lists it as uncharacterized. Lineage: Eukaryota; Viridiplantae; Streptophyta; Magnoliopsida; Magnoliales; Magnoliaceae. The transcript is spliced from 4 exons. The record is from RefSeq and is a predicted model, not a curated record.
GAAGGUGUCACCUACAGAGGAUAAAGCUACAGAAGAGAAAGGAGUACCAGAUUUUUGGCUCACUGUAAUAAAAACCAACGAAGUGGUUGGUGAGGAGAUUUUUGAGCGCGAUGAAGGGGCUCUCAAGUAUCUCAAAGAUAUCAAGUGGUUCAGAAUUAAUGAUCCCAAGGGCUUCAAGCUCGAAUUCUUCUUUGAUCCUAACCCAUGAUUGACGAUGAUGAACCUAUUCUUGAGAAGGCCAUAGGGACGGAGAUUAAAUGGUAUCUUGAAAAGAGCCUGACACAGAAGGUUCUGAAAAAGAAGCCAAAGAAGGGAUCAAAGAAUGCCAAGCCCAUCACAAAAACUGAACAAUGGAAUAGUUUCUUAAAUUUCUUCAAUCCACCACAAGUCCCGGAUGAUGAUGAUGAUAUUGAUGAAGA